GUGGGGAAUAUUGGACAAUGGGCGAAAGCCUGAUCCAGCCAUGCCGCGUGUGUGAAGAAGGUCUUCGGAUUGUAAAGCACUUUAAGUUGGGAGGAAGGGCAGUAAGUUAAUACCUUGCUGUUUUGACGUUACCGACAGAAUAAGCACCGGCUAACUUCGUGCCAGCAGCCGCGGUAAUACGAAGGGUGCAAGCGUUAAUCGGAAUUACUGGGCGUAAAGCGCGCGUAGGUGGUUUUGUAAGUUGGAGGUGAAAUCCCCGGGCUCAACCUGGGAACUGCCUCCAAAACUGCAUGACUAGAGUACGGUAGAGGGUAGUGGAAUUUCCUGUGUAGCAGUGAAAUGCGUAGAUAUAGGAAGGAACACCAGUGGCGAAGGCGACUACCUGGACUGAUACUGACACUGAGGUGCGAAAGCGUGGGGAGCAAACAGGAUUAGAUACCCGGGUAGUCC
This 450-nucleotide ribosomal RNA is filed under the name uncultured bacterium. RNAcentral's name for it is "partial 16S ribosomal RNA". It matches the Rfam family "Bacterial small subunit ribosomal RNA", at positions 354 to 796 of the family's 1533-position model. The record is from RNAcentral.